GCCCGCCUAGCUCAAUCGGAUAGAGCGUCAGACUCUUAAGAGUUGCGGGUGUACCGUCAUCUGAAGGCUGCGAGUUCGACCCUCGCGGUGGGCU
Steccherinum ochraceum is the source of this 94-nucleotide non-coding RNA. The record is from the annotation of a GenBank genome assembly. Lineage: Eukaryota; Fungi; Basidiomycota; Agaricomycetes; Polyporales; Steccherinaceae.